GUCAUGUGUCUUGAGCAGCCACUAUCCAAGUACCAACAAUUUUUGUUGUCCUUGGCUGCAAGACACUCCUACACAAGCAAAUCAUACAGUUUUAGGUACCCAAGUUUUCUUGGGUCCUUCAUGGUUAGUAAUAUUGGUUCCUUUUGGAACCCAAACCCUUUUAAUUUUUCUUUUGAUUUUUCCUUUUCUAAAAUCACAUACAUUUGCUUUGUGUCCUAAUGUUCCACAGCAAAAACAUGUUAUUUUCUUAGUUUUGUUUUCUCCUGCUUUAACAAAGAAAUUACUAAGGAGUUUUUGCCUAUUGUUAGGUUUAUACCCUAAACCAGCUCUAUUGAAUACAGCUCGUUGACUACUAAGUAUCAUCUCUAAUUUUUCUGAGCUAUAUGUAAAUCGUUCUACAAAAGGCUUGUAUUUUUCAAGAUCUAGUGUCAAUUUUUGUUUUUCUGUUUUUAGAUCAUUUAGUUCUUUUGUGAGACUCUCA
RNAcentral lists this long non-coding RNA (481 nucleotides) under Phoenix dactylifera (date palm). RNAcentral's name for it is "long non-coding RNA (PDAC_LNC020207)". The record is from RNAcentral. Lineage: Eukaryota; Viridiplantae; Streptophyta; Magnoliopsida; Arecales; Arecaceae.